Molecule: ribosomal RNA, 158 nt
Filed under: Diaporthe eres
Lineage: Eukaryota; Fungi; Ascomycota; Sordariomycetes; Diaporthales; Diaporthaceae
Description: 5.8S ribosomal RNA
Rfam family: 5.8S ribosomal RNA
About the family: 5.8S ribosomal RNA (5.8S rRNA) is a component of the large subunit of the eukaryotic ribosome. It is transcribed by RNA polymerase I as part of the 45S precursor that also contains 18S and 28S rRNA.
Source: RNAcentral
AAAACUUUCAACAACGGAUCUCUUGGUUCUGGCAUCGAUGAAGAACGCAGCGAAAUGCGAUAAGUAAUGUGAAUUGCAGAAUUCAAUGAAUCAUCGAAUCUUUGAACGCACAUUGCGCCCUCUGGUAUUCCGGAGGGCAUGCCUGUUCGAGCGUCAUU